AACUGCCGUCACGGCCAUAGCAGGAGCGUUUAUGUCACGGCCGUCGGAUUCUAACGAAUCGGCAAAUUCUGCU
RNAcentral lists this ribozyme (73 nucleotides) under Crocodylus porosus (Australian saltwater crocodile). Its description in RNAcentral is "Mammalian CPEB3 ribozyme (ENSCPRG00005005776.1)". The stretch from base 11 to 73 matches the Rfam family "Mammalian CPEB3 ribozyme", at positions 13 to 78 of the family's 78-position model. Rfam says of the family: The mammalian CPEB3 ribozyme is a self cleaving RNA located in the second intron of the CPEB3 gene which belongs to a family of genes regulating messenger RNA polyadenylation. The record is from RNAcentral. Lineage: Eukaryota; Metazoa; Chordata; Crocodylia; Crocodylidae.